UGUGUGUGUGUAUGUGUGUACAGGUACAUUUCUGCAGAAGCCAGAGUUCUUGGAUGUCUCAGUGCUGGAUUUACACCUAGUGAGAGCCUUCCCGCAUGGGUGUUGGGAACCAAAUUUGGUUCUUCUCCAAAAGUACCCCAUGUUCUUCACUGGUAAGCCUUCUCUCCAGCCCCUUAAUGGAUAAUUUCGACCUGAAAACAAUGUACUUGAUACCCUUGAGUGCUUUAGCAAUAUAUGACUUAAAUUUAAAUUAUUUGAUCUCUCUCAUUUUUCUAACCUGUAAGAUAAGGAUAUUUGUUCUAGGAGUGUACCCCGUGGAGUGUCCUAUCAAGCUGCCUCGUGCCUGCAGCUGAUCUCACCUACACCGAAUUGCCACUCGCUCUCUGGUGACUUAUCUCCAGAUAAGUCAUCAUAACUACAAAAAGCUAAAUGACUUUACUUAAGGAAAAGAAGUAGAUGCUUCCGGAGAGACAGCAUAUUUUUCGUAUCUUAAAAUGGAUUCAUCUUCCAGCCAGACUUCAAACGGGAAUUUUUAUGGAAUCAAAUAAUAAUGAGAAGUCUUGUAAUUUCUAUCAUCAUCAACUGUCAUCAUCAUAGUCAACCACCAUCAUUGUCGUCAUCCUCAUUGUCGUCGUUGUCGUCGUCGUCGUCGUCGUCGUCAUCAUCAUCAUCAUCAUCAUCAUCAUUGUGUUUAUGUAUACAUGAAUGUUUAUGCCAGAGUUGGCCAGAGCAGUGACUUGGAUGCCUUGGAGUAAAGUUACAGGAGGUUGUGAGCAUCCAAUUUGGAUUCUGGGAAUGAAACCCCAGUUUAUUGAAAGAGGAGCAAAUCUUAAUCCUGUAAAUAUUAAUUUUAAUUACUUUAAUUACACACACACACACACACACACACACACACACACACACACACACAUAUAUUGAAAGUGCAGAUUCUAAGUGAAAAUCAAACACUUUAAGUUUGACUGGUAUCUGGGUAGGGUGACUCACACUGAUUCUAAACUUUCUUAAAAUAACUCAAUGAAACUUGGAGAAUUCAAUCCAAUUCAUGCUUAUUUCAAUUUAUGCAUGGACUAGAUUAAGGAUUCAAAUCAAUUAAUAAUUAACUCUAUAUUGUGUUGCUAAAAUGUGUGGAGAUAUAAGCUUCAUAGACAUUUUCAAAUACAUAGAAAAAGAAAUGUAAAGAGAGAAAGAGGGAGAAACGUAUUUUAUCUCAAAUGUACAUUUAACUGAAUAAGGCUUAAUGAAUUCUUAGCACCUAAGUAUUAAGUACUUAAGUCUAAUUAAAUUUAAAAUACUGAAAACUUUUAUGCAAAUUUUAAAAGAGUUUUCAUUUGAAUGUUUUUGUUCUUUGUACUCAUUUAAGUGAAAUUCACAGAAACUUAUUUCUCAUUAAAUAUUAUUUUAACUAAGUAUACCAAACAGUCUAUAAAAUGUUUUGAGCCGCUACUCAAUGUUCUAAAAUAAUUUUUGUGAAAUAUUUUAAUACUUUCAAUGGAAACCAACAGUCAUGAGAAGAGUGCAUAGGGAUCUGUAAGCGGACAGUCUUUCAUUAUUUGAAUUGAUGUAAGUUACAGAUUACAUGAAAUUAAAGUGAUGAAAAUUAUUUUAAAGGCAAAGAAUCAUUUCAAAAUUCAAUCUUUCUUUGGUUUGGUAGCAGAAAGCACCUUUAAUCUGUGUUAUCAUUUGAUAUUUCCAAUUAAGACUCUUCCUGACUACAUAGCUGAUUACAGUAACUGAGUCGGAGGUCUCCUGCCACUGCUGGGCUGUCCCCCACUCAUCAGUAACGAUGUGCUGCAUUCUUGCUUUCUGAAUGAAGUUUAGUGGGAAAUAGGCUGAUUCUGCCUCGUAGCUCAGUGCAGACCCCUUAAGCUGUCUCUACUUGCAACAGCUUUUAGGAUUUGAAAUGUUUAUGUAAUCAGCAUCCUAAAAUAUAGUGGCUAUAUUAUACACAUCAUAAAGUUUCUGAUAAUGAAUCUUAAAGAAAUACGUUUAAACAUUUCCUUGGUACAUAUAUAAUUUUAUCAUUUCCAAAAUUGAAAGCAUUUUUAUUCUACUGAAAUGGAUUUACUCAUUUACGUUUAUGUAAAAAGUUAAAUCUCAACAUAAUUUCUGAUAUGAUUUGAAUAUAAACUAGCCAACAUCUCUCCAAGUUGAUUACAUUUUAGUUUUUAUCAUCAUCAAUGCAUAGAGCACCGCUGGAUAAAUAACUACAAUGGUACAAAAGGCAGAAAUACUUCGGGACAUUUCAGAAUUUGUGGAAAUUCUGUCCUAAUCACCAGUGGCCAAUUAAAGAACUGUCCUUUAUGAAGUACAAGCCAAAAAUUCAAACUAUAUUUAAAAUCAAUAAUAUAGUGCAUUCAAAGGAUAUUAAUUUGAUACAUGUUGAGGAAUGAUUAUGGGAGACUAUUUAGUCUUUGUUUUCUGUAAUUUAAUCAAGAUGUUUCUAAUGGCAGAAUAUGCCACAAAGAGAAAAAUGUGACUCCCUACACAACCUACAUCGUCUCAAAUCUGAGCCUGUGCUUCAGCAGCAGGGCUUAGCUUUGUGCAGUGUGACAGCACACACAUGCGUGGUGCACUGUGGAGUGCUGUGGGUUCACAAUGAAACCUGGGCAGGUAUUGACAACCCCAACCCCAUUUUGGUAUCUGCAUAUUCUUAAAACUUCCUUUGCCAGAUUUCUUGGAGUCCAUUAUACAUACAUAUAUAUAUAUAUAUAUUCACAACUAUAAUUUACCCAACUGUGGUUUGAAGGAUAAUAUUUUACAGUUAUUGACAGGGGAUAAUGUUUCAGUUUUCCUUUUAAAAAUCUUUUACUCUAUUGUUUAAUUUCUCUGGAUCGUUUUCAUUGCAUACAUAUUUAUCUUAAAAAACUAUAGGUUUUAAACUAUCAGGUCUUCCAGUUUUUACCAAACAUGGUGGGCAACAUGAUUGUGAAUAUUAUUUGUGCACCUUGCCCAGCCUUCACACCCUCAUGAUAAUCCACUGACUUUAUUCAAGCUGAUCAUCUGCUCUUGUCCUGACAGCUUUGCCCCUCUGCCUUAGGCAUAAAAGGUUUCUCAGCUUUCUCUAAACCAGUCACCUAAGCUCAAUCAUUAUAUUCAGUUAUCCUCAAUUUUCAGUGACCGAGCAGACAAGGAUACCCAUAGAGUGACUGAAGUUCACACAGAUUCAUCUUUCUUCCCGUUGGUCAUAGAGAAACUGAGGACAGAGUCUCAGAAGUUUAAAUGCUGAGAACAAGACUCCUUUAGUUCGGCACCAUCUCACGGCUUCAUUUGCUCGUAUUAAGUCUAAAGCUUAUCAGACCAAUAAUACAGGGCUACAGAUUUUCAUUUCAAGCUCAUGAGGUGGUUAAGGAUUCAGUCACUUUCAAGUAAUAUUAUACACAUUGUUUCAAUAAAUAUGAUGACAGGAUACUGUGUUAGUAUUAUAAAUAUCAGUAAUCAAGUUAUUAUUCAUGUGAUCAUUUAUUUGUAAAUAUAAGCACUAUAGAAUCUAACAAUUCAAAUAUUUCUAACCUAGACAUCCACACACUUAGUCACCUUUUGCAUUCAUUAUUUCAUAUUUAUUUUACUACUAUAUGUAGAAUUCAUUUGUCCAAUUUAUUUAUUAUCCAAAUGAUUUUUAUUUUAUAAUAUAUGUAUAUAUAUAUGGAAACGCAUGCAUUCUUGAUAGAUAUCUCAGAGUUCUUCCAAUUUAGAAAAAUAGGUGGAGAAAUUGCAAUUUAGGUAAAUUCCCAUAGGAGUGUUUUUUUUUUAAGCAUGAAGGCAUUAACAAGAAAGCCCUAAGCAAAACCUGUAAACAAAGACUGCAAGAUGGUUCACAGCAUGUUAGAGACUGAAGUCACUAUGGGAGAAGAAUCUUUGCCAGGCAAAUAGAAUUUCUAACUAUCUUCUAUGCAAAACUGUAGCAAUAACAUGUUCUCCAAACAAAAACACAAAAUGACCUUUUUUUUAAUGUUCAUAUAUUUAUAUACUUCUUUUUUAAAUAAGAUCUAAUUAUGUAGACUUGGCUGGCUUUGCACUCACUCUAUGAAACCAGGCUGGUCUAGGACUCAUAGAGAUCUGCCUGUCUCUGUCUCCUGAGUCUUGGGAUUCAAGAUGUGUAUGCAGUUCCUUGGGAAUCCAUGAAAGGGCAUUGGUUCCCCUGGAGCUAAUUACAGGUAUCUGUGAACCACCCUUUUGAUGAUGGCAACAGAAGACUGAUCCUUUGCAGGACCAGCAAAUACUCUUACACACUGAGCCAUGUAUCUAACACUUUCAUCACAUUUUUUAUUUUUUAAACAAUUUCUCUUAUGUCUUCUGGCUGUCCUUGAAUUUCUAUUUAACUGAAGAGAUGAUGACCUAGGAAAUCUGAUCUUACAGCUUCUACAACCUGAAUACUGAGAUUACAUAGCCUGUGCCACCACAACCCAUGCAUGUGACCACAUGAUCAAGGCCAAGCCCUGAGGCAAGUAGUCUAUCCAUGGAAUGAUAUCUAUAGCCCAGAUUCAGUAUUUUCAAUAAAAUGGCUUUUAUAUUUUAUAUAUCAAUAAUUUACGCCUUGCCAAAUGUAAUUUUAUGUAAUGUUAAAGAGUCAUGAAUUUGAAAGUGAAUUUGACAGUUCCUACAUAGUAGUAGAUCUUUAAAAGAAGAGUAAAAUAGAACAAAACGUCUGGAUAAAAUCUAGACUUAUAGGAAAUAUGAAAUAAAAAAACUAGGGUCACUGACUGAAAGACUGUUAUUUGUUGUUAUUUUUUAAUUUUCUAAUAAGACAUUCCAUAUGUUACUAAUUUUUGAUCAACACAGUCCCUUAAAAUGGCUGUGCUAUGCAUGCAUAUGACAUUCAUGUAUAUAAUAUGUAUGUUUUAUAUUCAAAUUGAUAAAAACCUCAAAGUGACAGAUGAGAGUCAAUGUAGAAAAUAUUAAAGGUAAGUAAAGUUAAAUAUUACUUAAUAGAAAAAGGCUUUUGAAACCCUGUAUCUACUCCCAUGCCCUCAUACUUGUGUUAUUAUCUACAUGCCAAGAUGAGAGUCAUUUUACUGGGUAUUCUAUAUGUGACAGUAAUCUCAAAGUACAAUCACUUCAAGUUUGCCUGUAGAAAAGGCUAGAUGUACAAAUCCGGUCUGAUUUCAUGAGAAACUUAUAGCACAGGAAGUUUACUCCAGUGAACAGUCAGUGAGUUAUAGACGUCAACCACCACGUCUAUCCCCUUGUUAGAAACACCCAUCAAUCAGAUCAAAGAGAGCUGUGACCAUCUGACCAGGUGCAGGAAGCACAAAGAUGCUGAGCGGAUUCAAGAGACUGGAACUGGCAACCUUUCACCUUAGCCAUGUGCUAGAGAAAACAUUUGAUAGAUUCAUAUUCAAAAUGCAUUUGUAUGGUUUUAUUAUCAAGCCUGUCUUGUGGCGCUAGCCUAGCAGAAAAGUAAUGGACCAUUAUAUGACUACUCAAAGUUGUAGUAGAAGGCUAACUUCUUAAUGUUAAUCCUUCUUGCAUGGUUUUUAUAUUUUUACCACUGUUUAUUUCAUAAUACUUAAGACGUUUCACCAAAUGCAAAAUAAAAAAAAAUCUUAAAAGCUCAUUUUAGUGAGCGGCUGUGAGAAGUCAGUAGUCCUCCUCUGUGGGUGAAUAUUCACAUGUUGGUCUAACAGUUAGUCUUAGAAUCAUAGUGGCAACCAGCUCAUGCUUUCAUCUCUCCUUUUAUACAAAUUUUCUAAAGCUUUUCAUUUUCUCCCUUUAUUUUUAGACUUCAGGCUUAUUGCAUGAGUUUGGAUGGUGUUCUUAUAUUUUGGCAUAAGAAAGUCCAUUCUUAGUUAUAAAUAAAGAAAGAAAACAAAACCAAAAGAACCAAGAUCUCUGAAGCAUCGUCUAAGCCAUCCUUUUCCCUUCAAUGGACUGUAUUCCCUAAGACUGGAACAAAAUGGUUCUCUCUUCUCUUAUGUUGGUUUUCUUAGUUAUUUUGCCUUAGAAUUGAUUGAAGUUACUAAUGUAAAUACCACAUCUAUUAAAAGAAAGCAUUCUAUGGCUUUCACUCUCAGAGGUUAAGAAGACCUUCCUCAUGAAUUGUUACUACAGUGGAGCUUUCCUCUGAUGCGCAAACCCACAUUCAGUGGGGGAGUGGAGGUAUUGUCAAGCGUAAAUGGUCAUUGCUAGAGUGCAUCCUCAACUUCUAAAUUGCUAACCGAAGAUAUCAAUGAUCAACAACAUUGAUACCUUCUUUGCUUGUUUCCAGCUGCAGUCAUGUUUGCUUUCAUAUAUUUAGAAAAUGUAUCCUUUGGAAUAGGUACUAUUCAUGAAGAUAUCAGGAAUAAGAAAUAUACCAGAUGGUCAUUGUUUCUUAAUUGUGCAGUCUGAACAAUAUCAAAAAAUAAAAACUCUCUUUUUUUCAUAUAGACAAUCCAACAUUAACUGAGCAGAGAAUAAAAUAUGAAUUUCAAUUGUUAUAUUUUGGAAGAAAGGAAAAGCAAUUCAUGCCACAUUUAAAACUAUAGACCUCAGCUUUUCCAAGUGUGAGCAGAGUAAGAAACAUCCUUAGCCUUUACUGAGCCAUUAACCACUGUCUUCAAAACUUUAGAAGUGUUUAAAAGAAUUAAGAAAUGUUUUGAGAUUAUUUAUUGCACAAUACUAAUGCCUAUCAAAAUUGAUGGCAAAAUUCUGCUCAAGAAGUUGAACAGCAUCAAAAUUGAACACAAUAGAUAAUAACACACACAUUCACUAUUGUACAACACAAGAAAAUGCACAGCACACAGGGCUAGGCAUCACAAGUUUUGCUCAUUCCAUUCCUAUGAAAAAAAGAAAGACCUGAUUUGAAUUAAAACCACCUCUGGAGGUAGACUAAUGCAUAUUAUAAAAAAUGAGUUAGUGUAAGGCGUGGGAAAAGUUCAGACAUUCCUUUCGCAUAUUGAAUCAAUUAAUAGCAUGUACAAGGAAACCCUGAUUAUUUGAAGGAGUGGAGAAAAAUGACUUGAUUCUUUACAAGUAGUACAGACUAUUAUUAGUAUUCCAGAUAGACUGUGUUGUAGAGAGUCCAUCACCGGCUUUGAUCUGUCUGCAUCCACAGCUGGAAAGUCUGCACAGGGCUCUGGAAGCUGCACCAGCUGACAGUUGCCCCCAUCAGGAAAGUGAAUUAGUGCUUGCAAAUGUUAAUGAGAGGAUCAAAGCACAAAGGGGCAGAACUGGGUUCUUCAGAAAAAAAAAUCUGAUUUCAUUUCCUGUGGACAAAAAUAAUUAAAAUAUUCAUAAGUUCUCAGCUUACUUUAGACUUCGUAUCCAUCACACUCUGACUUGGUCUUCUACCAUUCUUUUGUUCUCUUUCUUCAUGCUCAUGCUGCAGGUUUCGCCUUUCUUCUUGCUUUCUCUUCCUUUUCUAUCUGAAAGUGUUUGAACUCACCAGGAAAUAAGUGUGUCCUAAAUGAUCAAAAGUAUAACAACAGUUACAUAAAACGUCUAUGUAUGCUAUUCCUCCAGUUACACACACACACAUGCUACGAGCUCGCAAAGGUAUGUCCUCUAUGCUGUGAAUAUUUCAUUUAAGUACUGCAGGCAUCAGGGAAACUACCAAAUUGUAGAUACCAAGAUACCAUACUGAUUUAGAUUACCCAGGUCCAGACAUUGAUAAUGACUCCAGGGAAAAUAGUUAAAGACCAUCACCUAGGGUGCUUCACUUACAUUUUAUGUUUCCAGGUUUUCUUGUGUUUGUGGAACUAUAUUAUGUCAGAUUGUCUGUUUUCCGUUACACAUCAUCAUGUAUCCCAAGAGCUGUGAUGGGAAUUCAAGGUGAAAAAGAUAAUUCUAAUCAUAUUCAUUGAUUCUAUGACUUUAGAAAUUAAACUAAUUCUUGUUCCAUAAAUUAUUCUUCUCAUUACUUUAAUAUUCUGACUUUAUUACAGAAUGUAUUUCUUUAAGGGUGCAUCACAGCCCUCAUCAUCCUCCAAUUUCUACAUUCACCUUCCCCUUUGUCUUCUUCAAUAAUUGUCUUUAUCUAAGGAGGUCCAAUAGCUCCCCAACCUUUCCCCCUACUUAAAACUAUUUCUUAUAAUUUUGAGAUUGUAAUGUAAUUACAAAAUUAUGUCAUUUUCCCCUUUCAUUUGCUCCUUCCAAGCCCUUUUGUAUACCCCUUCCUGUUCUAUUUCAAGUCCAUGGGCUUUGUUCUCAUUCAUUCCUGUUGCGUGCAUAUAUGUGUAUGUAUUCCUCUAUAAAAAAUACAGACUGCUCAGUAUGUUACUUGAGACAUACAUCCACAGCCUCUUAAUUUAUUUCUUGCCUUCAGACACAUAAGGAAAUACUCUGUUUGAUGGAGUGUCACUGCUAUCUGUUCUAGAAACACUAAUGUUUAACCUAUGCCAUUUCGAACUUGUGUUGGCCAGUGAAGUACAUAACAACCAACUAUUGCAUUCUCUUAGGUGUGUAUCAUAACACUUACCAUAGAGGAAAGGAUUUAUAAUGUUUUUAGUUUUGGAAUAUUAGCUUGAAUAUAAAUUAAAAUUGAAAUGUAGGUAUAUACUACAGAAUAAAGGUGCUCUAACCGGACUUUUCUCAUGUGUGAAUAUGGAGUCUCUGUGCCCCACCAUGCUAUAGCUACAAUGUAAUCAAACCAUACAGCUUUCCAGCUGAGCAAAUCUCUACUUGUAAGGAAGCCCUGAGGCCUCGAGUCUGUAGGCUUUAUUUUUCCAAGAUGAUGUGUAUAAAUAUGUGCUUUUAUAGAACUGGAAGUUUAGGUGGUUGUAAGCUGCCUAGCACUCCUUCUGGGAAUUGAACUUGGGUCCUCUGUAAGAACAGUAUGGGCUCUCAAAAAGUGAACUGCCUCUCUAGCAAUAUCAGAAAAGUUUGGCCUCAAAACAGUACAUGUUUCUAAGUAACCUCAAUCUUGUUUCCUGACAGUUAUAUAAUUUCUUAUACUGGCAAAAUUAUUCUAUACAUUCAUGACAUUUUUCAUUUUGCGACCAAUUUGCCUCAUUGAUUUUAGAGCCUUAUUAAUAAAAUGUCAAAGAUUUAAAUACUCACCUAAGUCAGCUAAAUAGGUUAAGUCAUGCUGUUUACUUAUUCUGAAAAUAUACCUAAUAACUAGGGAAAUUCCAAUUCAAUAUCUUUAAAUUCUUUCUGGGUCUCUAGAUUCCUUCUUAAUCUUUGUGACUACUGCUGUUGAAGACCUUUUAAUACCAACAUUAUUAUUACUAUUAUGGGUUUUCUUUUAUUAGAAUUUAUGUCCAGCUUAACAUUUUACUUCCUAUAUACUUUUAUUUCACUUUCUUGCUUCUUAUUUGUGUACCUUUUUUAUUAUCACAAAUUUAAUAUACUAAAGACCUUAUUAGUAUACUUUAUAUGUUUUUCCAAAAGAUUCAGAAAUUGCCAAUAAGAUUCAAGCAGUUGAUUCUUUACCUUUGAUUAUAUCAAUCGGAUGAACUUGAAACACAGGUUUGGAGAGCACCUAUGCAAAGAUGCUUUAACAGAUACUUACCAAAUACUCAAAGUUUGAAUGCAUUUGUACCAUUUCAUUGAUUUUUGUUUGUUUGUGUUUAUUUGUUUAUUUUUGAACAGGUUCUCACUAUGCAUUCCUGGCUGGCUGGAACUUGUGGGUAUCAACUGUGUAUCAGUCUGUCGUCUAAUUCACAAAGAUCCAUCUGCCUCUGCCUCCAAAGAAUUGGAAUAAAUGUAUGAGUUAAGUUCUGCUUUACAACAUGUCAACCCCAAAUGCAGUGCUUUAAAUAGUGUGUUGUUUUCCUUAGAGUUCUACUACCUAUUGAACAGUUAUUAUUUUCUCACUUGACUUGAUUGGCACAGGGUUGACUGUUGGGACCUACUAAUUGUGGUCAAAGUCUGCCAUUGUCCAGAUAGCCUUCUGAACUUGGUGUAAAAUAGGGGACUCCCUUUACCAUCAGAGCAUCUUCGGUGACCUUGUCUGGGGAUCCCCAAAACGCCACCGUCUACUUGCAGAAUGUCACAUAGUCUUGGUGAGAUUAUGCUGCUUGCUCUCUGGUCUGCCUGCUACUCAAACUGACUUGCAGUUGGGGGUUGGAGAUGACUGAGUUAGACCUGAAUCAAUAGCUCAGACUCAGAGAUUGGGUGAGAACUUCAUAAUAAUGCUGCUGCAAGCUGAUUUAUUAAACCCCAGGGAUGGGGGCAGCCUUUCUACCCUCUACCCAUGUCCCAUUGGUCCCAUCCAAGUAUGUCUUCUAAGCAACAUUUCCCAAUUGGCUGGUAUUGUCUGCACCAGCAAUCCUUAGUCUCUCAGGUAGUCUUUAAUUAGUACAACUUCUAUACAGCAGUUCCUUUCCUGUUUAAGCCUAGGACCCCUGGAUGUUUAUGCAAUGCAGUCACCGUUGUUCAUUCUACAAGAUAACAAGUUCAACUACCUCUUUUUCUUUUCCUGAUAAGAACCAACCCAACAAGUGCCUGGGAUUCCUGGAAUGCCUCU
This 10387-nucleotide small RNA is filed under the name Rattus norvegicus (Norway rat). RNAcentral describes it as "uncharacterized LOC102550696". Lineage: Eukaryota; Metazoa; Chordata; Mammalia; Rodentia; Muridae. The record is from RNAcentral.